AGGGGGGAGGCGGGCAGGGCAGAAAAAAACAUUAGAGCUGCCGAUGGCUUACUGGAGCCAAGAGUCAGGGAGAUCCAAAGGAGUCCCACUGUGAUGUUUUACAACCUGAAAGAUGGAAGAUUUUUCAAGCUUCAGACAGAAAGGGAACAAAAGUGUUUAUUACAUCUGAAGGAGAAAAACUGUUUUCUACCAGACCUUUAUACUUGUAUGAAUGUAUUGCUGAAAAAUUAAAGUGGGAAAAUACAAAUUAUUAA
Molecule: long non-coding RNA, 254 nt
Organism: Poecile atricapillus (Black-capped chickadee)
Lineage: Eukaryota; Metazoa; Chordata; Aves; Passeriformes; Paridae
Exons: 3
Source: RefSeq, a predicted model, not a curated record